CGGAAACAUGGAUGGUUCGAUA
Molecule: non-coding RNA, 22 nt
Filed under: Arabidopsis thaliana (thale cress)
Lineage: Eukaryota; Viridiplantae; Streptophyta; Magnoliopsida; Brassicales; Brassicaceae
Source: RNAcentral